AAUAUUUUGCUAAAUAAAUAUGCACAUUUGAUUAGGCUUUCAAAGUUUGCAUGAGGCAGGGGAAACUUCAUGAUCUACUUGAGCAUAAAUGUGCACAUUUGAUUAGGAUUUUGUAGUUUGCAUGAGGUGCGGGGAAACUUCAUGAUCUACUUGGGGGGCAUAAAUAUGCACAUUUGUUUAGGAUUUCAUAAUUUGCAUGAGGUGAGGGGAAACUUCAUGAUCUACUUGAGCAUACAUAUGCACAUUUGAUUAGGAUUUCGUAGUUUGCAUGAGGUGCUGGGAAUUUCAUGAACUCCUUGAGCAUAGUAAUAUGUUACUCCCUCAGAUCCAUAUAUUAACUGUCGCACAAAUGGAUGUAUCUAGC
Molecule: long non-coding RNA, 364 nt
Filed under: Hordeum vulgare
Lineage: Eukaryota; Viridiplantae; Streptophyta; Magnoliopsida; Poales; Poaceae
Description: long non-coding RNA (HVUL_LNC017122)
Source: RNAcentral